Molecule: ribosomal RNA, 432 nt
Filed under: uncultured bacterium
Lineage: Bacteria
Description: bacterial SSU rRNA
Rfam family: Bacterial small subunit ribosomal RNA
Source: RNAcentral
AAGCACCGGCUAACUACGUGCCAGCAGCCGCGGUAAUACGUAGGGUGCGAGCGUUAAUCGGAAUUACUGGGCGUAAAGCGUGCGCAGGCGGUUUGGUAAGUCAGAUGUGAAAUCCCCGGGCUCAACCUGGGAACUGCAUUUGAGACUGCCAAGCUGGAGUUUGGCAGAGGGGGUGGAAUUCCACGUGUAGCAGUGAAAUGCGUAGAGAUGUGGAGGAACACCGAUGGCGAAGGCAGCCCCCUGGGCCAAUACUGACGCUCAUGCACGAAAGCGUGGGGAGCAAACAGGAUUAGAUACCCUGGUAGUCCACGCCCUAAACGAUGUCAACUAGGUGUUGGGAGGGUUAAACCUUUUAGUGCCGUAGCUAACGCGUGAAGUUGACCGCCUGGGGAGUACGGCCGCAAGGCUAAAACUCAAAGGAAUUGACGGGGA